This 253-nucleotide ribosomal RNA is filed under the name uncultured bacterium. RNAcentral describes it as "partial 16S ribosomal RNA". It matches the Rfam family "Bacterial small subunit ribosomal RNA", at positions 524 to 776 of the family's 1533-position model. The record is from RNAcentral.
UACGGAGGGUGCAAGCGUUAUCCGGAUUUAUUGGGUUUAAAGGGUCCGUAGGCGGACCUAUAAGUCAGUGGUGAAAUCCUGCAGCUCAACUGUAGAACUGCCAUUGAUACUGUAGGUCUUGAAUUCGGUUGAAGUGGGCGGAAUAUGGCAUGUAGCGGUGAAAUGCUUAGAUAUGCCAUAGAACACCGAUUGCGUAGGCAGCUCACUAAGCCUGGAUUGACGCUGAGGGACGAAAGCGUGGGGAGCGAACAGG